CUCAUAGGUUGGAGACAGAUAAUACAUACUUAUAAGACAUUUAUUGCAUAGUCAAACCAUGGAUCCAGAAGAACAAGUCAAUAAGUCAAAUCAAGAUGUGCAUGUAUGGCGAGUGAAUGGUGUAUGGUGAUGAUGGUGAUAACAAUGGUGAAAAUCUAAUUCUACUUUUGCUCUUUUAAGGGGAUACAUACCUUUCUUGCACUUUGAAGCUUUUUGAGGAGAAUGAGAUGCUCUAUAUUUUCUUUUUCUUUCCUCUCAGGUGGGUAUCUUGUACCCCUAAUUCUACUAUCGGACAGUUGUCCAUUUUUACCUCUCGUCUCACUUUUUCUUUUCUUCGAGGUUCCGGGCACUUGCCCCUUUUUAUUUCCUCGUAUCCUCUUUUUUCUAGAGCACUCAUCUCCUGAAAUAAUAUAGCAAGUGGUAGUAACCAAGAUAACUCGAGCACUUAUUUCAUAGGGAAAAAACAAAAAUGUUGUUGGCUAUUCUCUCCCGGAUUAGGAGUAGAAUACUUUUGGGUGGCUCGGGAGAUGGAAGUGAGUGGAUGUAUGUGGAUGCGUACUUCCAGAGUAGAAGUAGCAUGUGUGAGUGAACGUGCAAGUGGAUCUUGAUUUUAACCGCAUGACAAGCUCCUAAGGGUCUACACAGCUUGACCACACUCAAUGCUCAUAAGCAGUAA
RNAcentral lists this long non-coding RNA (676 nucleotides) under Sorghum bicolor (sorghum). RNAcentral's name for it is "long non-coding RNA (SBIC_LNC004787)". Lineage: Eukaryota; Viridiplantae; Streptophyta; Magnoliopsida; Poales; Poaceae. The record is from RNAcentral.